Molecule: long non-coding RNA, 4219 nt
Organism: Felis catus (domestic cat)
Lineage: Eukaryota; Metazoa; Chordata; Mammalia; Carnivora; Felidae
Exons: 4
Source: RefSeq, a predicted model, not a curated record
CUCUUUUUUUCCUGUAUUUAACAGCUCUUUUUAACACAAAAAGAGCUGGAUUUGCAACUCUCCUCCUGAAGGCUCAGGGCCAUGGUUCUUACUGACCACCAGGACGUAGCAUCCACUUUUCACACUAGUAUUGCUUUCUCUUGUUUGUAGAAAUGUAGGUAUUUCCCUGUCUUUAAUUAUUGCAUUAGUCUUCUAGUCACCAUGACCCUAGGAGAAAUGUAUUUUCUCACAGUUCUGGAGCCUGGAAGUCCCAGAGCAAAGCACCGGCAGGUUGGGUUUCUUCCGCAGUCUUUCUCCUCGGCUUGCAGACAGCUACCUUCUCACUGCAUCUUGUAGGGUUUUGUUCUGUGUCCAAGCACCAACCACCGCCUGCCCUGGUGUCUCCAUGUCCGGAUUUCCUCUUCUUGUAGGAACCCCAGCCAGACUGGAUCAGGGCCCAUCCUAACAGCCUCAUUUAACCGUAAUCACCUCUUUAAGGCCCCGUCUCCAAACACAGUCACAUUCUGAAGUACUGGGGCCUAGAAUGUCAACAUAUGAAUUUUGGGGAGACACAAUUUACUCCAUAACAACUAUACAAGUGAGGUUUUGGAGUUUUUGAAGUUAUUUCUGUGUUUCUAAUUUAAGCUGACAGAAGUCCUCUAUGCUAAUUUCAAAGUGUUUCAAACAUUAUCUGAAAAUAUUCAAGACCCCACUCCCCAAGCUCACAAUAAAGUUCUAAGCUUUUCAUAACCUUUUUUUUUCCCCCUGGGAUACAAGAGAUUGGCUGUAAGAUUUCAGAUGGCACUAUUUCUGGGAAGGAGAAUAGAUUUUCAGAUAUUAGAUUUAAGUAAAUACUAAUUUUGGCAUCUUUGCUGCUUUCAGCACAAGCAAAUGGAAAGAAAGCAUCUGGGAAUCUGACCUGUGUCUAAGUGCUGCCAUACUGGCCUGACCCUUCACUACUGAGCUUCUUUGAACAAGUUAUUUAAUCUUUCUGAACAUCAAAGGUGUCGCUGAGAGUCUCAAUCAGACUGAAAGCCCCUGCCCUGCCGUGGAAGCUACUCUGAACUCAACAGAAACAUGAACUACACUUGUCAUUACAGCAAGUGAUUUGUUCAGCUGCUUGGCUCCAAUCUUGGCCUCACACGCUUCCUCUGGGAUGAAAAAAGUCAGUGAAGGUGGGCAAAUGUAUAGUGACAGUACAGAGUGGAAGGAAGUAACUUAUCUCUUUUGGGCACAUUGAAAAAAGCAACAUCUUCCCUUUUGUAAAUAAAUAAUACUAAAGACUGAGUUAAGAAAAUGGAGCUACAAACAAACUGAAACAAAACUUAGUCAUCAUGAUGUGAUUUAAGGGGCUGAGAACAUAAGGUAAAGAUAAAAAUCAAACUUGUGUACAGAAAGAGAAGAAGGACUCAGGUCAGUUUAGUUACACAGUAAGCUAACCAAGAUCUCAACAUCCAUACCAUGAGAUAGCUUUCAUGAUGGAACUUCACCUGAACUGAACAUUACGUAGCACAACUUGUCAAGGGCAUGAAGAUUACAAGGGGGAGACAAAAUUCAAAAUAUUCAGGAUGAGGUGUUAAAAGAAGAAAUUACAGAUUUUGUGUCUGAAUAUUAAUUGGGGGAAAAAUGCACCCCCCCUUAAAAAAAACAACAGUACUUUCUAAAACCAAGAAAAACUAUGUCUUAAAAAUCUCUCUCUUCUUUCAAGAUGAAUGUUAUGUUUGUAUGAGCUGUUGUCAGUGAUUAUAUUGACAAUAUUUCAGGCUACUUUAUAAAUUAUACUCUUUAACAUGAUUAAAUUACGAUUUCAGCAAAGUCAGUGGUGAAAAGAUAAACUGGUCUGUAUUACCUGGAUUAUUUUCUUUAAUGGUAACUAAAUAGAAUAAUCCUCUUGGUGACAGAAGAUCUGCAGCCAGUGGGAAGAACCUGUCCAUGACUUCUCGACCAUUUCUGCCACCGGCCCAAGCAGCCUCUACUCCGUGACUUCCCACCUACAGGAUUAUGUUCUACAUUCUUGCACCAUAUCUUGCUUUUGUCAAUCAUCAACACUUUAUGGAGAGCUCUUCAUGUGAUCAGGGUAUUUUUCAGGGUAAGAUGUGAUUUAAAGUCUUCUUCCUUUGACUCCUCUGAUGAUUGAAUUAAGUAAGUAUUUUAAAAAAAUCGUGUCUGGUCGUGUCACCCUGCACCUUCACAGGCACAGUAAAGUGAAAACAUGGUAUCUGGGUGGAUUCUCACCUCUAAAGCCAUUUCCUUCAAUUAUCACUUUGUACAGACUCUCACCCAUGACUUCUGAGGUUGUUUCUUGAGAUGGAAUAGCUGAGGUACUUCACGGCAGUGUCCAAAGUGUUAGCUCUCUCAUUAACAUUCUUGCAAUUUCCCCAUUUAUGCACACGCACUUACCAUUUUUUACUAUUUUUCUUUAAAUGGGCUUUUUUUUUGUUGUUAAAUAAAUUUGCUGUAAAGGGAAAUCACUAUUAAUUUCUGGAAAUAGAAAUGACUACAAGGAUAAAUGAGAUAAGAAUUAAAAAAAAAGUUACAGUUAAUCAUUACUGUUGCCAGGCUGAGAGUGACCCAAGCCAUCUGUCUCUAUUAGAGAGACAUCUGUAAGUGUUUAAAAGGUGUUAAAUAACAACAACAAACUGAGACCUUCUCCUGGAUGUAAUCACAAUGGCUGAAAGAGAAUUAAAGAGGAAACAGCUUUGACAUUAUAUGAUUCAAAGUUAUUUAAAACUCAGCCAUACCUUCUAAUGUUGGGCACAUCACUGGCCUAUUAUUUACAUACAUUAUGAAACACUGCCUUAGAGCUUCCAUUUUACCCUGUUUCUAAAAGAAAUACUACUUUUAUCAUUUUUAAGCCUGUUAACUAUGUAGUUCAAAGAGAAUACUGGAACAGUGUCUUUGAGGAGAUGUUGUAAGGUAACUUUUUUUUCUCCAUUCUUUUCAAAAGAGAAAAGUGCCAUUUUUGAGGAAAGUAAUGAAGAUGCAUCCUUGUCUGCAAGUAGAAGAUGACUAAGGUUAAUCUGCUGUUCCCUUUAGGAGCAACACUGGAGAGUGAGGAAAUACAUCUGUAACAGCCGAGAGCUUUAUUUUCAAUUCCAUAAAGAAAUUAAGCUUCUCACAUUGUAAAAAGAAGUCCGGAAGGUAAUUUUCCAGAAAUGUUCAGUAAGGAAACUAGAAAAGAAUUUGCUUUGCAAUUGUUUACAAUGGCCCUGAGGUACUAUAUACUAAUAAUCAUUGCAAUACUGGAUUUUAAAUAAAGGAAAAAACUGAUGGAUUUAAAUAAAGGAAACAACAUGGAAAAUAAUGUAGUUUAAAAGAAAAUGGAUUUAAAUGAGAAAAUUACUGAUAUAAAGUCUAAUCACAGGCAUCCCUCACCCACUCAUAUUCAGCUUUUGUGUGGUCUCAGGGCAUUAGAACAGAUCCAAGAACUGGGAAGUAAGCAAAGAGGCCUCUGACAAGAAGUUUUAAAUCCGUAUAGCAAAACAUGUGCUAUUUAUUCAUGAGAGGUACUUGUUCAGAGCCCCUGAACUCUUAGUUUAAAUACAAGUCUAACUAAAUCACUUGUUUGGUAUUCUAGCACAGAGCACAUGAAGAGAGAGAGGAAAUGCCACUAACAGGUAGCAGUAAAAUAAGACAGCAUAAAGCAGGUAAAAGGAGAAGAUGAGGAGGAGAGGAAAUAAGAACUCAAAUCUCUGCAGGCUAUAGCCCCUCAGCGUGAAGGCAGAAACACCUGAAUAAGCCUCUUUAUCACAGCACAGGAUGAUAAAUGAUGUGCACAUUAACGGCCCUGAGUCAGUAAAAGGUAGUUACGUUUAGUUUGUUUUAGGAAUGUAAGGAAAGGCAUACGAUGCAUUUGAAAAAGUCUUUCUUCUAAAACUAAAAAAAGAAACAAAGCAAAAGUACUACUUUGUAAACAGGUAGGCUUAGUUACCCAAAACAAUGAUUUUAUUGUGAUAAUCUAUGCCUAGUGUUCUGAAUAUAAACAAACGUAGAGUUUUGUAUAUUGAUCAUAAUACCUAUGUUCAUGCUCACCUCUUCUUUCUUUGCCACACGUCAGCAUGAAGAGCUGACUCCGGCAUGGGCUACCACGAGCCAUGUCCUGAAAGUUGUGAGACACCUACACUUAGAUUCCCAAGAUCUGGAUUUAAAUUCUGGAUUUAUCGGGGUGCCUGGGUGGCUCAGUUGGUUGAGCGUCCAACUUCAGCUCAGGUCAUGAUCUCGCGGUCUGUGAGUUCGAGCC